Long non-coding RNA from Telopea speciosissima, 491 nucleotides. RefSeq lists it as uncharacterized. The record is from RefSeq and is a predicted model, not a curated record. NCBI's taxonomy places the organism in Eukaryota, Viridiplantae, Streptophyta, Magnoliopsida, Proteales, Proteaceae. The transcript has 2 exons.
UUGUCUCUUGAUUUGGUUCUUUAGUUCUCAGUCCCCCAUUUUAACUUGGCACACAAAGGUAUGGAAGGGGAAGAGGGCAAAUCUGUUCUGAGCACUAUGGCUGAGACCCAUAUUCCAACACCUUCGUACUCUACGCAAACUCUCCCUUCUGGGCCUGCUGCUCCUCCAGCUGUUGCUGUUCCUCCUACUGUAUUUGCUGCUUCCGUUCAGAACAAGAAAGGAAGCUCGAAGAUGUUGAUCUCCACAACUCCACUUACUUCAAGAUCCAUGCGGUCGUUAAAAAUCUUCGCCCCUUCUAUAUCGAGGGCACUAGAAUAAGGUGGGGAUGGAGGAUUAGGGCUCAGCGGGGUGUUGGGAAGUUCUGCAGUUUGCUGCAAAAUCCACCAGCGAGCCACUGGGCAUCAUUGGAACUUGGGAUGUACUUUCUUCUAGUUAAGAUGAGCAUAUUGCAUUCGAUUCAAAUUGGAACUACCUUCCUCUUUUUGUUUCUA